This 540-nucleotide long non-coding RNA is filed under the name Homo sapiens (human). RNAcentral's name for it is "non-protein coding CDKN2B-AS1:41". The stretch from base 2 to 47 matches the Rfam family "CDKN2B antisense RNA 1 convserved region 2". Lineage: Eukaryota; Metazoa; Chordata; Mammalia; Primates; Hominidae. The record is from RNAcentral.
AUCCGUCACCUGACACGGCCCUACCAGGAACAGCCGCGCUCCCGCGGAUUCUGGUGCUGCUCGCGUCCCCGCUCCCCUAUUCCCCUUAUUUUAUUCCUGGCUCCCCUCGUCGAAAGUCUUCCAUUCUUCAAACUAGAUUAUUUAAAAAUGAAAAAGGAAGAAAGGAAAGCGAGGUCAUCUCAUUGCUCUAUCCGCCAAUCAGGAGGCUGAAUGUCAGUUUUGAACUAAAAGCCGCUCCGCUCCUCUUCUAGAUUUGGAAAACAAGCGAAAUUAAACUAAACCGCUGCACGCCUCUGACGCGACAUCUGGACACGGCGCGGCGCUGGCGCUGCCGGAGCUGUCGACCCGGCCUGGCGCCGGACUAGCUGGGAGACAGGAAAAGCGGUCCUGUUUGGGAACAGUAAAAGCAGGGCAAGGAAAGGAAGGAGCGGCAGAAAGGAGGGGUGAGUCGAGGACACAGGGGCAGCCGGAGAAUGCGGAGGAGCCGGGUCCUGAGCGCGGUCUAAGCGAGGCUCGGCUCUCGUCCAGGAACUCGGACGC